Molecule: ribosomal RNA, 497 nt
Filed under: uncultured bacterium
Lineage: Bacteria
Description: partial 16S ribosomal RNA
Rfam family: Bacterial small subunit ribosomal RNA
Source: RNAcentral
GAUGAACGCUGGCGGCGUGCCUAAUACAUGCAAGUCGAGCGAACAGACGAGGAGCUUGCUCCUCUGACGUUAGCGGCGGACGGGUGAGUAACACGUGGAUAACCUACCUAUAAGACUGGGAUAACUUCGGGAAACCGGAGCUAAUACCGGAUAAUAUAUUGAACCGCAUGGUUCAAUAGUGAAAGACGGUUUUGCUGUCACUUAUAGAUGGAUCCGCGCUGCAUUAGCUAGUUGGUAAGGUAACGGCUUACCAAGGCGACGAUGCGUAGCCGACCUGAGAGGGUGAUCGGCCACACGGGAACUGAGACACGGUCCAGACUCCUACGGGAGGCAGCAGUAGGGAAUCUUCCGCAAUGGGCGAAAGCCUGACGGAGCAACGCCGCGUGAGUGAUGAAGGUCUUCGGAUCGUAAAACUCUGUUAUUAGGGAAGAACAAAUGUGUAAGUAACUAUGCACGUCUUGACGGUACCUAAUCAGAAAGCCACGGCUAACUACGUG